This is a non-coding RNA of Schizosaccharomyces pombe (fission yeast), 1424 nucleotides long. The record is from the annotation of a GenBank genome assembly. Lineage: Eukaryota; Fungi; Ascomycota; Schizosaccharomycetes; Schizosaccharomycetales; Schizosaccharomycetaceae.
GAUAAGAAUGAGCAACUUAAGUACAAAUAAAAGAGAGUUAAAAAAAAGUAUACGAUGGGUUUGAAGUCUCAAAAACUUAUUGCACAAUCCAAUUCCAUGUCGCAAAAUACCGAAUCUGAAGAACAUGCUACGAAUUUCGUCAAAUUUGCUUAAAAGUAUUAACGCAGUAUUAUAUCACACUGCUGUUAAGCAAAAUGUAUACUUUAGUUACAAUUACUGUUUGUAAAUAGGUGAUAUUACAAUCCGAAAUCGUACACUAUAGAUAUCCUCAUCAUUAAAUUGUUGAACAACUGAAAGCAUUGUGGUAAGGGUUCAACAUUCUACAAAUCACUCACGCUACUUUCAUUUUCACAUUUGAAUGCGUGCUUUGAAUGGAACUAGCAGAAAUGAAAGGGACGAUAGUCUUUUAAUUUCAUUUCUUUACUUUCUUUUUACUUUCUUCUGAACUGAAUUGCUAUAUUGAUAAAUUAAAUAAUGUUCUGGAUAACCAGAACGAAUCAGAACGUGUCUUUUAAUAGCAAAAUUUUUCAAAACCAAAAGCCAAUGAACAAUGUAAGCAAAAAGGAGGAGGAAAACAGAUUAGGGAAUUCAUAUAGAGCGUAUUUUCAGAAAGGUUAUUUGUAUACCUUUUUAAGUCCUAGCCUCGCUCAUGUCGAGUACUUGAACCAUACCUCGGUUUUUGGUCUCAUUUCGGACAAGUUCAUCUAUCAACUUAUAAUUCCCUGGAAUCACGAGAGCUAUGCACUCAUAUUCAUCAUCAAUGUUUUCUUCUUCAAUUUCAUCAGCUAAAGAGCGUAAACGCUCUCGUAAAGCUUUUCCCUGUUUGACAUCCACCACUAUUCUGAUGCGCAUACGCGCACGGACGAUAGGAAUUUCGUUUUUUUCUUGCAAUUUCUUAAUAGCUUCCAGAGCUUGGGACUUUGCAGUUUUACUGGUAGAGACAGAAAAGCCACAAUCAGAUAAUGCUUUUUCAAUUAUAGAUGCUGGAUAAGGUCGUUUAGAAUUAGGAUCCAUGCACAUCGCAGUAACAUGGGAGACAAUAUCGCGAUAAGUUGAAGACAUUUGAUGAUGUCUUUCCUUUUCACCUACUUGAAAAUCUCCUUUUUGCAAAAUUUCUAAAAUAAUUUUAUCUAUAUCAUCUGUACCAAAAGCCUUUUUCAAAUCCUGUCGGCUAGCUACAUGUCCUUUAGAAACAUUGUUAAACACAUUGUGGAUUUGUAAAACUUCAUCCAGAUCUGUUUCACUAAACUUGGUUAGCUAUGGUUUUGAUCAAAAAAAAUUGUACGAGUUAUUGAGUUGUUGACACCAGUCGACAAGACACGUGAAUUCAAAAAGAUAGCUUGUUAUAAUUUUCUGCUGAUCUUAAAGAAUAUUUAUCUGUAGCAAAGGCUGACUCUCACUAAUUACAGUAGCUUAAUUUAAUG